CCUACGGGAGGCUGCAGUGAGGAAUAUUGGUCAAUGGGCGGAAGCCUGAACCAGCCAAGUAGCGUGCAGGAUGACGGCCCUACGGGUUGUAAACUGCUUCUAUACGGGAAUAACGCGCCUUACGUGUAGGGCUUUGCAUGUACCGUAUGAAUAAGGACCGGCUAAUUCCGUGCCAGCAGCCGCGGUAAUACGGAAGGUCCGGGCGUUAUCCGGAUUUAUUGGGUUUAAAGGGAGCGUAGGCCGCAUGUCAAGUUUGCGGUGAAAUGUCCGGGCUCAACCCGGGCCUUGCAGCGCGAACUGGCGUGCUAGAGUCCGCGGACAGCAGGCGGAAUGCGUGGUGUAGCGGUGAAAUGCUUAGAUAUGACGAAGAACCCCGAUUGCGAAGGCAGCUUGCUGCAGCGGAACUGACGCUGAUGCUCGAAAGCGCGGGUAUCGAACAGGAUUAGAUACCCGUGUAGUC
This 460-nucleotide ribosomal RNA is filed under the name uncultured bacterium. Its description in RNAcentral is "partial 16S ribosomal RNA". It matches the Rfam family "Bacterial small subunit ribosomal RNA", at positions 338 to 795 of the family's 1533-position model. The record is from RNAcentral.